This 497-nucleotide ribosomal RNA is filed under the name uncultured bacterium. RNAcentral's name for it is "partial 16S ribosomal RNA". It matches the Rfam family "Bacterial small subunit ribosomal RNA", at positions 28 to 507 of the family's 1533-position model. The record is from RNAcentral.
GAUGAACACUGGCGGCGUGCCUAAUACAUGCAAGUCGAGCGAACAGACGAGGAGCUUGCUCCUCUGACGUUAGCGGCGGACGGGUGAGUAACACGUGGAUAACCUACCUAUAAGACUGGGAUAACUUCGGGAAACCGGAGCUAAUACCGGAUAAUAUAUUGAACCGCAUGGUUCAAUAGUGAAAGACGGUUUUGCUGUCACUUAUAGAUGGAUCCGCGCCGCAUUAGCUAGUUGGUAAGGUAACGGCUUACCAAGGCAACGAUGCGUAGCCGACCUGAGAGGGUGAUCGGCCACACUGGAACUGAGACACGGUCCAGACUCCUACGGGAGGCAGCAGUAGGGAAUCGUCCGCAAUGGGCGAAAGCUUGACGGAGCAACGCCGCGUGAGUGAUGAAGGUCUUCGGAUCGUAAAACUCUGUUAUUAGGGAAGAACAAAUGUGUAAGUAACUAUGCACGUCUUGACGGUACCUAAUCAGAAAGCCACGGCUAACUACGUG